UUAAAUGUCUCAGCGUUUUGGCCAAGAUCAAUUGUAGUAUCCGUUCUUAUCAGUUUAAUAUCUGAUGUGUUCCUUAUCUGUUUUCAAAGCCCUCUUGUGGCUCUGUAGUAGUGUCCCUAGCCUUGGACUGGGAGGCCUAAUUCAAAUCUUACAUACCUGCUCCAGAGGUAUGUAAUAGCAUCUAU
Small nuclear RNA from Chiloscyllium plagiosum (whitespotted bambooshark), 185 nucleotides. RefSeq annotates it as U2 spliceosomal RNA. Lineage: Eukaryota; Metazoa; Chordata; Chondrichthyes; Orectolobiformes; Hemiscylliidae. The record is from RefSeq and is a predicted model, not a curated record.